AUUAAACGCUGGCGGCAUGCCUUACACAUGCAAGUCGAACGGUAGCGCGGGGCAACCUGGCGACGAGUGGCGAACGGGUGAGUAAAGCAUCGGAACGUGCCCUGGAAUGGGGGAUAACGUAGCGAAAGUUACGCUAAUACCGCAUAUUCUGUGAGCAGGAAAGCAGGGGAUCGCAAGACCUUGCGCUGAUUGAGCGGCCGAUGUCAGAUUAGCUAGUUGGUGAGGUAAAAGGCUCACCAAGGCGACGAUCUGUAGCGGGUCUGAGAGGAUGAUCCGCACACUGGAACUGAGACACGGUCCAGACUCCUACGGGAGCAGCAGUGGG
This 325-nucleotide ribosomal RNA is filed under the name uncultured bacterium. RNAcentral's name for it is "bacterial SSU rRNA". It matches the Rfam family "Bacterial small subunit ribosomal RNA", at positions 30 to 358 of the family's 1533-position model. The record is from RNAcentral.